RNAcentral lists this ribosomal RNA (429 nucleotides) under Verrucomicrobiota bacterium. RNAcentral's name for it is "Verrucomicrobia bacterium partial 16S ribosomal RNA". It matches the Rfam family "Bacterial small subunit ribosomal RNA", at positions 355 to 776 of the family's 1533-position model. Lineage: Bacteria; Pseudomonadati; Verrucomicrobiota. The record is from RNAcentral.
UAGGGAAUCUUCCGCAAUGGACGAAAGUCUGACGGAGCAACGCCGCGUGAGUGAAGAAGGAUUUCGGUUCGUAAAACUCUGUUGUUAGGGAAGAAAAAAUGUAUAGUAACUAUAUACAAAAGAGACGGUACCUAACCAGAAAGCCACGGCUAACUACGUGCCAGCAGCCGCGGUAAUACGUAGGUGGCAAGCGUUGUCCGGAAUUAUUGGGCGUAAAGCGCGCGCAGGUGGUUUAGAAAGUCUGAUGUGAAAGCCCACGGCUCAACCGUGGAGGGUCAUUGGAAACUAAUAGACUUGAGUGCAGGAGAGAAAAGUGGAAUUCCUAGUGUAGCGGUGAAAUGCGUAGAGAUUAGGAGGAACACCGGUGGCGAAAGCGGCUUUUUGGCCUGCAACUGACACUGAGGCGCGAAAGCGUGGGGAGCAAACAGG